CUUGAGUCCAAAAGAGGAGAGAAAUCGCACCCCGAGAAGAAGGCGCGAGCUCGGUGGCUCCAGUCCUGCGGGAGCAGAGGGGACAGCAGACCUGCCCAGGUAGAGGGAGACGACUUCUGAGGUGCUGGAGGCUAUUUCUGGAUUUUGCGCGGCCUGGCGCUGGGUGCCACAGCCGGUGAAUGCGGGAGACCUGCAGCAGACCCGGCGCUGCCGCCAGAACCUGCUCACUACGCUCCACACAGCUCGUCAGGGCCCAACCUGAGCACUCCGCGGGCCUGCGGGGAUGGGGCGGAAAGGCUGGCUGCUGUCUUCGGACCCUGAACCCUCCCCUCUUUUUCUCUUUUCUUCAUGUCUACACAAAGGCAGAAUGGGCAGGCUCACUCGCAGGCCGACGCCACCGACGUGACGCUAGUGAUUUUGGUCGAGUCGUCAGACCACGGCUGCAGAUUCUGCAGGGCGAAGAGCGACGAGUUGUGCACGCACAGAGGGUCAGCGGGCAGCGGCUGUGCCAGGCUCUUCUGGAAGGCCUCCUGCUGCAACUGCAGGAGGAUGCGGUUCGCUUGCUGCCUCUCGGCCUCCCGUUCCUCCGCAGUCUGCCGUCUGCACCGGGAACAAGCCGUUACCUGCCAGGAGCACCGACCCAGCUCCCGCGUGUGCCCAACUCCUGGUGCGUUCCCAGGAGAUAAACUGAACGAGCGCUGCUCGCCUUUGCAGUCCCCAAAUCCAGUUUGGGCCCCUAUAACGCGUUCCCUUCUUUUGAGAGUCCUGACUCCAACAAAGACUGGAAACCCCAAAGCGGAUGGAGCCAAGGUAUCC
RNAcentral lists this long non-coding RNA (816 nucleotides) under Homo sapiens (human). RNAcentral's name for it is "non-protein coding lnc-LBX1-2:1". Lineage: Eukaryota; Metazoa; Chordata; Mammalia; Primates; Hominidae. The record is from RNAcentral.